UACAGAGGGUGCAAGCGUUAAUCGGAAUUACUGGGCGUAAAGCGUGUGUAGGUGGUUGGAUAAGUUAGAUGUGAAAUCCCCGGGCUUAACCUGGGCAUUGCGUUUAAGACUGUUUAACUAGAGUACUGUAGAGGAUAGUGGAAUUUCCAGUGUAGCGGUGAAAUGCGUAGAUAUUGGAAGGAACACCAGUGGCGAAGGCGGCAUCCUGGACCAAUUCUGACGCUGAGUGAGCGAAAGCCAGGGGAGCAAACGGG
RNAcentral lists this ribosomal RNA (254 nucleotides) under uncultured prokaryote. RNAcentral's name for it is "partial 16S ribosomal RNA". It matches the Rfam family "Bacterial small subunit ribosomal RNA", at positions 524 to 776 of the family's 1533-position model. The record is from RNAcentral.